RNAcentral lists this ribosomal RNA (253 nucleotides) under uncultured bacterium. RNAcentral's name for it is "partial 16S ribosomal RNA". It matches the Rfam family "Bacterial small subunit ribosomal RNA", at positions 524 to 776 of the family's 1533-position model. The record is from RNAcentral.
UACGGGGGGGGCAAGCGUUGUUCGGAAUUACUGGGCGUAAAGGGCUCGUAGGUGGCCAACUAAGUCAGACGUGAAAUCCCUCGGCUUAACCGGGGAACUGCGUCUGAUACUGGAUGGCUAGAGAUUGGGAGAGGGAUGCGGAAUUCCAGGUGUAGCGGUGAAAUGCGUAGAUAUCGGAAGGAACAUCAGUGGCGAAAGCGACUUCCUGGACCAAUACUGACGCUCAUGUGCGAAAGCGUGGGGAGCAAACAGG